ACCGUGUCUGGGCCUGGUAACUCCACCACCGUUGGCGUCGCUACCGCCAACGGGGGCCGAGUUCCUGCUCCUAGAUGCGAU
This 81-nucleotide microRNA precursor is filed under the name Heliconius melpomene (postman butterfly). RNAcentral describes it as "mir-2765 microRNA precursor family". It matches the Rfam family "mir-2765 microRNA precursor family". Lineage: Eukaryota; Metazoa; Arthropoda; Insecta; Lepidoptera; Nymphalidae. The record is from Rfam by way of RNAcentral.